This 389-nucleotide ribosomal RNA is filed under the name Protospathidium muscicola. RNAcentral's name for it is "eukaryotic LSU rRNA". It matches the Rfam family "Eukaryotic large subunit ribosomal RNA", at positions 1 to 397 of the family's 3401-position model. The record is from RNAcentral. Lineage: Eukaryota; Ciliophora; Litostomatea; Haptorida; Spathidiidae.
GCACCUGAAAUCAAGUAAGAUGACCCGCUGGACUUAAGCAUAUUACUAAGCGGAGGAGAAGAAAUUAACAAAGAUUGCCUUAGUAAGGGCGACUGAACCGGCAAAAGCUCGAAAUUGGAAUCGGAGAUUCAAAGAAUCUUCGAAUUGUAAUCAGGUCCGCCGAAAUACGGAAAAUCGCUCAAUUACGUCGAAACGUAAGCCAGAGAGGGUGAAAGCCCCGUACAGCGUUAUUCCGAAACAGGGGGACUCUAAAAGAGUCGGGUUGCUUGGAACUGCAGCCCUAAGUGGGAGAUAUGAAUCUUCCAAAGCUAAAUAUCGAUGGGAGACCGAUAGCGAACAAGUACUGUGAAGGAAAGAUGAAAAGGACUUUGAAAAGAGAGUGAAAAGAU